Neomonachus schauinslandi (Hawaiian monk seal) is the source of this 380-nucleotide long non-coding RNA. RefSeq lists it as uncharacterized. The record is from RefSeq and is a predicted model, not a curated record. Lineage: Eukaryota; Metazoa; Chordata; Mammalia; Carnivora; Phocidae. The transcript has 5 exons.
CCCCAGCAGAGGCGCCUGACGGGCAGGGGCAGGGACCACAGGUCGCCAGGGAGCAUCGCAGAGUCGGCAAGGAGUGGAGGGGGCUUGCGGAGGGGGAGGAGGCGGAGCUGGCCGACCGCAGCCCAGAGUCCAGCACUUCGGAGCGCGGCCCCUCACCUCGCCGGCAGCGGGACCCCGCGCCAGCAUCGGACGAACCCGAUGGAGGCUUCAGGAAGCUGUACUCAGAGCUGCGCAGUGAGAAUGAGAGGCUUCGGGAGGCCCUGACCGAGACCACGCUGCGCCUGGCACAGCUCAAGGUGGAGCUAGAGCGUGCUGCGCAGAGGCAGGAGCGCUUUGCAGAGAGACCAGCCCUUCUGGAGCUGGAGAGAUUCGUGAGUAGG